This 256-nucleotide ribosomal RNA is filed under the name uncultured eukaryote. RNAcentral describes it as "partial 18S ribosomal RNA". The record is from RNAcentral.
GGUUGAUCCUGCCAGUAGUCAUAUGCUUGUUGAUGAAUGUGGCAAGCGAAAGCAGAUGUGAAAAGCAUUUUGCUAGUCUGCCCGAGGGGGUAGGCGACACCGUCAAAUUGCUCGGACGUCCUGCAAAGCUGCUGGUACCGUCUGUCGGGUGAAAGCCCGAUCAGACACCAUGGUGAAAGCCGUGGGUAUGGUGACAAUCCAGCCAGAUAGGGACAAUGAGCAGCCAAGCCCUACCGGUUGCCGUGGCAACUCAUGG